CUUCAACGACCCCAACCACAAAGGACGCCCCGCAUCCCGACCCCGCCCAUACGUCUCCAACAACGCCUGCGCCUC
Non-coding RNA from Streptomyces nanshensis, 75 nucleotides. The record is from Rfam. Lineage: Bacteria; Bacillati; Actinomycetota; Actinomycetes; Kitasatosporales; Streptomycetaceae.